Molecule: long non-coding RNA, 3655 nt
Organism: Oncorhynchus tshawytscha (Chinook salmon)
Lineage: Eukaryota; Metazoa; Chordata; Actinopteri; Salmoniformes; Salmonidae
Exons: 3
Source: RefSeq, a predicted model, not a curated record
UUUUGUCUCUAUACCCUGUAAUAUGACAUGCGAGCCACAAUAGGUUUCAGGGGACCGGGUAAAAGCGUCAGUAAUGAUUACUGACUGCACAGUCCUGGUGUCUUGUAAGAGUUGAUCUGCUUGUUCUCCAGUUAAGGGAACAACCAGCAGAUAUAAAACAGAGCAUAGAUAGGAUCCGGUUUCCCAAAUGCUUAAUCAGUAACUCGGUCCAACGGACGAGCCAAAGACGGUACUAAAACCCACGCUUUUUAAUUUAGGGGAUGGUGACAGGGAUUGUUUCGGUUUAUUUUGCAAAACUGGGCAGUCCGCAAUCACGUGACCCUUUUGGUGAAAUCCUGCGACGGCUAGGGUCGUUGUAGGAAAAGAAAAAAAACCUGAACGAGGCACUGAAGAUGUUAGGCUUUCAAAAUGAAGCACACCAGCGUACUCAUCUGCCAACACUGCUGCCUGGGCCAAUGUCGCCACUUUCUGUUCAUUUCAAUGAACUACUACUCUCAGGCAGGUUGCUUUUAAAAUCCUCCAACAGCAUCAACUUCCGAAUAUCAAAGGUGUUAGCGUAACGGGCCGAACACCAGCGAUUGAACAGACUUUUUGUCCCUAGCAAACUCAACAAAAGUACGGUGAGAGGGUUUGUGGUUCCUGAAGCGCUGCCUUUAAGCUUCAGGCACCAACUCAUAAGCCCGCAACACGUUUGUUUUAACUAUAUCGUAUAGUGUAAACUUGUCUUCCAGGGAGAAAGCGGCUAUUACUUCCUGGGCUUUUCCAGACAAUUUACAUUACAACAGGAGCGGCCAAUGCAGCGCAGCGGCCACAUGCUAAAACGCAGAGAAAUAGGAAUCAGCUUCCGAAAUGGAAGGACUAAUGCAAUAUUUUUACUCACUUCAAAGUAGGCUUGAUGAUGGGUAGGUUGUGGAGUUAUCGGAUCCUCACCUCCUUGUCGGCUUAUAUGGCCAUUUUCCUCAUUUCUAAAUCAAACUCCAGCUGGAUAAACACACUUUAUAUUUUAGCUCCAUUUCCAAACAGGUCAGCACCACCUUUAGCCUAGCGGUCCCAUCUGAACAACCCGAAGCAGAAGAUAAAGGGUUGAAAUCGGGGCAAUGUAGAGGAGGUACGAGCAACCCCUUCCUCCGCCUUGGCAUAUGAAGGUCUAUCCGCCUCCCUCAUAUUUCAACAAGAAAUUUCCUUUUCUCACUAAACCCUCCCUGACUAGCACCAACAGCUCAGCCUUUAGGGCUUCCUCAGGGACGAAGAGUCCAUAAUAGUCAGCUAUGGCGCAAAGGUCUACUUUACGAAACCCCACCAACCGAUCAACUGAGGGAGCUUCAAUAAAAUGGGAGUUGGUUGAGGCAGUCAUGGUACACAGCAGCCUACUGAACACAUGUAAAUUAAGUCACCCAAACUCACAACCAAACCUCAGUCUCCAAUCACAGAGAUCAGAGCAGCGGGGUCCUGUGGAUUUAAUAAUCCCGGAUGAGCCCCCCGUUAUGUUACGUACGCCCCCUGGGCGGAGGGAACGCAACACCCUGCUACAACACAACUCCCCGUGGAGUGAAAAAGGUAUGUGAUCGUAGGUGCAGGGGAAGGACAACAGAGACAGAAAAAAAUUACCAUUUACAGUGAAUUUAUUAUUCCUAACACAGAAAUGUGGGGAAAAGGGGCUGGACAGAACUAAAGAAAAUAAAGUAAAAGUUAAAUAGUCCCGUCUCCUACCUACCCACUACUUACCUAAUCUUUUAGCACCUCCUGGCGAGCUAACCAAAAUACAGGGGGUGGUCCGCCCAGGUCUUGCCUAGUGUGCAGACAGUAAAUACUACAGUUUAUGUAUACCCGCAGGCCUCUUGCCUAAACACUCCAAAGGUGCAUUCCCCUUCCCCCCCAGGAACAAAUAAAACAGAAUAAUUACUAACUGAAAGUGAACAAUUUCACUAAUCAAAAACACUAAGCCCUAUUGGCAUACACAUACAGGAGUAGCAGCUACAAAAUACUUCAACAAAACUUUCACGGACUAACAACCAACACAGGACAUCAAAGAAGCUCUCUCCUCCUGACCAAGGAUCACUGGCUUUUAUCCAGCUGUAGAAGGAGUUGGUAAUUGAAGACAGUUGUUUCCCCUGACUAGAGGGAGGGUUCAGAGCGCCAAUCAUCGAUGGGGCCGACCAAUCAGCUGCUUGAAGAAUACAAGAUUCCAUUUCCUGAAAUACACACACACAUAUAUACAAACCCACAACAACACAGAAACUGGGGAGCGUAACAUAGUUUUCUUAUGUCUUACCAGUCACCAUGAGCUUGCAUGUUCCUUAAAAAACAAUAGGCUUUGUUGUAAAGGGUGUGGAUGUUUUUCUUUUGUAAAUUACUGAUGACUCAUUUUAACCACACUUAAUUCUCUAAUCUCUUUCUCCUUUAAUAUACCAGAAAGCUGAGUUGCUAUGGGAACAGGAACUGUAUGUUCCAUUUUGUUACUCUGUAUCUGCCCCUACUGCCACACCUUCCCUGCAAAUGUAAGUGACGUGCUCCAAGUUCACCCCUUAUCAAACACAAUCCUAUAAUCCUGUUUCAACCCUGAUGGUCAAAGCAACAAAACUGUUUAUGGAACAGCUUUUAGGGGCAUAUUAACCAUUCCGCUAUUAAAAAGGUUUUGGCCAAUAGCAUGGCUCUGAAAACAUCUUUGUUCUGGUCCUUGAUGGCCUCCCACACUGGCUGUGUGUGUUUGUGCAGGACUGCCAGGUGAGCCUGAACUUUGCAGCUGAGGCAGAGAGGUUCUGUGCAGCCUUGGAGAGACAGAUCCAACAAGCCCCAGAUUUGGAAAGCAACACACACACACACACACACGUCACAUCACAUUUACAAUAUAAUUAGUUCUCUCAGCUUCAGGCAGGCCAGUCCUCUUCUCUUUCUCCCCUCGUCUCCUCUUCCCCGAUCUCGCUGUCUCACGUCACUCUUUCUCAUUUUCUCCCCAUAACACUUUAUUUUACUCUUUAUCUCUUGCUGUCUCUCUUCCUCUCCCUCUCUUUCUCAAACAGAGCUAGUGGGCAGACUCAGCUGAACCGUACUGACAGUGUGGACUCUGCCUCAGGCUGUUUGUGUGAACAGGAACAGAGCCGAUCUGGGAUCAGCACUCCAUCUCCAGAUGUGUCAGAACGAGAAAUAUAUAGGCCAACAUCAGCACACUGGAGCUUAUACAGACCCAGAUAAUUCAUUAUUAGAUGCAUUUUAUGAUGCUGCAUUAGAAUGGAAGAAAAUAUAAAUGGCUGUCUGACUGAUUUAAUCUUGUCUCUUAUCCAGACGGUAGUCCCAGGUGGGAGUGGGCCCAGAGCAAGGCCUCAGUUCUAGUGAGCUGGACCCUGCUCUGAGGAAUCUGCUCAGGAAGGCGGGGCUAAACAAGGAGGAUAUGAAGGACAGACACACCCUCCUCCUAGAGGGGCACACCCUGAGAUGAUCAGAAAGAGCUUUCAGUGAGAGAAUAUGACUGUGGCAUGUCAAUGACAGUUGUAGACAAUUUCCAAUACAUGUCUGUGACGCAGUGGUGACCUGUCAUUCAGGGCAGAGCCCCACCUGUUAAGCUUUUUGUUGCCUGUUUUUCAUGUUAUUUUGGCAUUAAUACAUGUCACACAUGUUUGCAAACAAUGUAAAAUAAUAAUUGAGUUAAUAAAGCUAC